RNAcentral lists this ribosomal RNA (468 nucleotides) under uncultured bacterium. RNAcentral's name for it is "partial 16S ribosomal RNA". It matches the Rfam family "Bacterial small subunit ribosomal RNA", at positions 28 to 507 of the family's 1533-position model. The record is from RNAcentral.
GACGAACGCUGGCGGCGUGCUUAACACAUGCAAGUCGAACGGAAAGGCCCUGCUUUUGUGGGGUGCUCGAGUGGCGAACGGGUGAGUAACACGUGAGUAACCUGCCCUUGACUUUGGGAUAACUUCAGGAAACUGGGGCUAAUACCGGAUAGGAGCUCCUGCUGCAUGGUGGGGGUUGGAAAGUUUCGGCGGUUGGGGAUGGACUCGCGGCUUAUCAGCUUGUUGGUGGGGUAGUGGCUUACCAAGGCUUUGACGGGUAGCCGGCCUGAGAGGGUGACCGGCCACAUUGGGACUGAGAUACGGCCCAGACUCCUACGUGAGGCAGCGGUGGGGAAUAUUGCACAAUGGGCGGAAGCCUGAUGCAGCAACGCCGCGUGCGGGAUGACGGCCUUCGGGUUGUAAACCGCUUUCGCCUGUGACGAAGCGUGAGUGACGGUAAUGGGUAAAGAAGCACCGGCUAACUACGUG